Molecule: long non-coding RNA, 655 nt
Organism: Equus quagga
Lineage: Eukaryota; Metazoa; Chordata; Mammalia; Perissodactyla; Equidae
Exons: 3
Source: RefSeq, a predicted model, not a curated record
GCCAAGCGGUGCCAUGUCCUCACCAGGGAUCUGAACCAGCGAACCCCCAGUCACGGAAGCUGAACGUGCGAACUUAACCACUGCGCCACCGAGGCCGGACCUGAAUUGGGAGCAGGUGCCCACAAAGCACUGAUGAGUCAGUAAGUCAGCCUCCCCAGAAGGGGGAGCCCCGGAGUCACCAACGGUACCCCCCAGAAAGAAGGGGUGUUGUCCUCAGCUGGAUGGAUGCUCGAAGACCACCCACCAGCGCCUCCACCUUCCAGCCGACAGCAAGGAGGCAAGGGAAAAUGGAGGGCCACUGGCUCCCUUCAAGGCCCAACCCAUGAGUAUACACAUCUCUCCAACUCAUCUCCUCCUGGCCAGAACUGAGUCACGUGGUACACCUGGCUGCAAGAGAGGCAGAGAAAUGUGGUUUGUAUUGUGGGGGACUGUGUGCCCAGCCCAAAACUGGAGAUUCUCUUACUUUAGAAGAGUGAUGAUUGGCUAUUGGAGACCCCCCCCUGCCAGUCUCAAUCAGAUGUUCCUUGCAGAAUAACAACCCAGGGUUGCUGGCUUUUUAAAUUUUAAAAGAAACUAAAAAGCCAGACCUUAAUGUGAAAAUGUUUCCUUUUUUUUUUAGUGAGGAAGAUUGGCCCUGAGCUAACAUCUGUGCCAA